UUUUACCAAAUUCUAAAAUUCAUACUAUAAACUUCAUGCUAUAAAGUUCAAAAUAAAAAAAAGUCUCUUACACAUAUCCUUCAAAUAUCCUUUAAAUAUUAUAGAAAUUAGAUUUUAUGAUAGUUUUCAUGAAAAAAUCUUCACUUCUCUUCUUCAUCGGAAUCAAAAGACUGAAUUAAACUGCAAAUAAGAGUACGUACAUUCAAGUUAUUUAAGGCAAUAUUUUAAAACUUCUUAUGAACAUGACUUUGAAAAGUGUGUAUAGAAAAUAAUGUUAGUAAUUAAAUUUUUCCAGAUGAAACAAUUAAAAUUACUAUCUACUUUGCUUUAAAAAAAAAUUUCUAUAUUACCUGAACAUUCUUUUUUUUCCUCUUGAUUUUCUCGCAGUUUCCUCCAACUUGUUAUUUGAGCUUCUCAUUUUGAUAAUUUCAAAGUUGUACAUACAAAAUAAUUAAAAUAAAUAAACAAAUUAAACUUGACAAAGAUGGAUUAAUUAGAUGUCUUGUGGAGGAAAAGUGAAGGUUCGUAAUAAAUUAAAUAGAAAUAAAAUGGUGAGAAUUAUAAAUGACAGGGGGAACAUUUAAAUAUAUUAAUUGGAAGUUUAGUAGUGGGCCAUUUUAGAUGUAUUAAUUUGAUACAUUAAUUAAAAAUUUAAUGAAGAAUUUAAAUACAUUAAUUGAAAGUUUAGUAGUAGACCAUUUCAGAUGUAUUAAUUAGAUACGUUAAUUAAAAAUUUGAUGAAAAGAAGGGAAAGAAUCACAUGGUGGUGAAGGUGAAGAAAAAUAAAUAUCCUUCAAUUAUUAUAGAAAUUAGAUUUUAUGAUAGUUUUCAUGAAAAAAUCUUCACUUCUCUUCUUCAUCGGAAUCAAAAGACUGGAUUAAACUGCAAAUAAGAGUACGUACAUUCAAGUUAUUUAAGACAAUAUUUUAAAACUUCUUAUGAACAUAAUUUUGAAAAGUGUGUAUAGAAAAUAAUGUUAGCAAUUACAUUUUUUCUGAUGAAACAAUUAAAAUCACUAUCUACUUUGCUUUAAAAAAAAAAGUUCUAUAUUACCUGAGCAUUCUUUUUUUUCUUCUUGAUUUUCUCGCAGUUUCCUCCAACUUAUUAUUUGAGCUUCUCAUUUUGAUAAUUUCAAAAUUGUACAUACAAAAUAAUUAAAAUAAAUAAACAAAUUAAACUUGACGAAGAUGGAUUAAUUAGAAGUCUUGUGGAGGAAAAGUGAAGGAUCGUAAUAAAUUAAAUAGAAAUAAAAUGGUGAGAAUUAUAAAUGACAGGGGGAACAUUUAAAUAUAUUAAUUGGAAGUUUAGUAGUGGGCCAUUUUAGAUGUAUUAAUUUGAUACAUUAAUUAAAAAUUUAAUGAAGAAUUUAAAUACAUUAAUUGAAAGUUUAGUAGUAGACCAUUUCAGAUGUAUUAAUUAGAUACGUUAAUUAAAAAUUUGAUGAAAAGAAGGGAAAGAAUCACAUGGUGGUGAAGGUGAAGAAAAAUAAAUAUCCUUCAAUUAUUAUAGAAAUUAGAUUUUAUGAUAGUUUUCAUGAAAAAAUCUUCACUUCUCUUCUUCAUCGGAAUCAAAAGACUGGAUUAAACUGCAAAUAAGAGUACGUACAUUCAAGUUAUUUAAGACAAUAUUUUAAAACUUCUUAUGAACAUAAUUUUGAAAAGUGUGUAUAGAAAAUAAUGUUAGCAAUUACAUUUUUUCUGAUGAAACAAUUAAAAUC
RNAcentral lists this long non-coding RNA (1717 nucleotides) under Ananas comosus (pineapple). Its description in RNAcentral is "long non-coding RNA (ACOM_LNC021309)". Lineage: Eukaryota; Viridiplantae; Streptophyta; Magnoliopsida; Poales; Bromeliaceae. The record is from RNAcentral.